This 775-nucleotide ribosomal RNA is filed under the name uncultured Neocallimastigales. RNAcentral's name for it is "partial large subunit ribosomal RNA". It matches the Rfam family "Eukaryotic large subunit ribosomal RNA", at positions 22 to 616 of the family's 3401-position model. Lineage: Eukaryota; Fungi; Neocallimastigomycota; Neocallimastigomycetes; Neocallimastigales. The record is from RNAcentral.
CUAUACAUGACUCUGCGCAUAUCAAUAAGCGGAGGAAAAGAAACUAACAAGGAUUCCCCUAGUAACGGCGAGUGAAGCGGGAAGAGCUCAAAUUUGAAAUCUUAAAGGGUUUCCCUUUACGAAUUGUAGUUUAAAGAAGUGUUUUCUGUUGAGGUUUUGGUAAAAGUUCUUUGGAGUAGGACAUCAUAGAGGGUGAGAAAUCCCGUAUUUGACCUUUACUUUCAACUUUGUGAUACACUUUCAAAGAGUCGGAUUGUUUGGGAAUGCAGUCCAAAAUGGGUGGUAAAUUUCAUCUAAAGCUAAAUAUUGGCGAGAGACCGAUAGCGAACAAGUACCGUGAGGGAAAGAUGAAAAGAACUUUGAAAAGAGAGUUAAACAGUACGUGAAAUUGUCAAAAGGGAAGCGUUUGACACCAGUGUUGUUUUUCUGAAAAUCAAUUAAAGAACUGUUUAUGCUAAGUUGUUUAGACUUUAUCAGCUAACUGUUUAGUUUUGAGCUUUUCUUUAAUGCACUUUUCAGUUAACAAGUCAACAUCAAUUUCUUUUGCUGUAAAAAAGCUUGAGGAAGGUGGCUUGAGAUUCGUCUUAAGUGUUUAUAGCCUCUUGCCUAUGCAGUCGGAGAGAUUGAGGUCUGCAGCGUAGAUCCUUCGGGGCUAAAUGCAUUUGUGCUAAGUUAUAGCAUUUUAUAGACAACUUGUUGACUAUGAUUUGUCUUGUAGCUUACUCGCUUAUGUUAUUUUACCUACGCUUAGGAUGUUGAGCGCAUGUCUCUCUCU